CCCCAUACACUUGAAGCUUUUAUGACUCAGACCUUCUCAGUCACCAAGAUAUCGGAAAAAACAAAACGAACCCAAGGAUGGGACAUGAUAUCACCUAUGGCCAUGCGGGCCCAUCAAGUCCGGCGUCUGGCGGCCACAUUUGGGAUAACAGUAUUCGAGAUACGCGCCCUGCUCGAAAACCUUUUGCAGCCGCACAUUAUGACCAGGGAUCGGAAACGGAGUGUGCAUAUAGCAAGGUAUGAAAUGGUGUGGACGGCAUGGACUGGGAUGGGAUGGGAUGGGAUGGAAUGGCCUGGAACGUGGAGUGCUGUUAUCGCUGCACUCAGUCAGUCAGUCGGGGCUAAUCUGCACGGAGUUAUCGGCCAUGGAGCCAGCUCUCUCUCUCUCGCUCUCUCUCUCCAAAUUCCCUGCCAGUCUUUCUCCUGCGCGGGAUUUAGCGACGCCAAGUGAAUCAUGCUGGGACUCGGGUUGGGAUAAGCCCGGUGUCGCUGCACUUAUAAAAUAAUUAUAAGAAGGCAUUGGAUGGGUUCGUUUGGGGCAACAUGCCGCUACUUCACCCACCUGUCCCACCGGCUAGAGCCACAGCCACAGAGCGAAGGCCAAGAAUGCGGGCCCGACUUUGUGCUCGGUGGUUUUUGUGUGGUCGAUUCCAGUUGGGGAGUAAUCGGACCAAAUGCCUUUUGAUUUUGACGUGCCAAACAAAAGUCGCGGCCUUAUCGCUGACCUCGAUCUCUACGCAAUGAGUCGAGGAAAGGGAUCUACACAGUGAGAAAGGGAAAAGGAGACUAGAACAUUAAAUGAAUAAAGAAGACGAAAGCAGUUGAGCUUCAAUUGAAAAUAGAAUAUAUAUACAAUUAAACUAAAUUAACAAAGCUCUAUUUUGUUCGUCUACAAGGGAGUGGUGAACUUGACAGCCAAAAAAAAAAAGGAAUGUAGAGCGAAAGAGCUGAGCAAAACCAAAACCAAAGUCAAAUCAAGACCAAAUCAAAUUCCAGGGCAAUGUUCCACGUAAAUCAUAAAUUGGUCUAUCUCGCGAAAAGAUCUACAAACGGAUGCUCCAAAGCGGAGCAAACAUAAUUAAGAAAACCGAAACUGAAACCGAAAUCGAAAUCGAAACUCAAACCAAGAGAUAGAGUGGGACAGUUGGAAGCGGCAAGAGUUGGGGGGACAGGCGAGAUGGAUGGCCCAAAUGGCAGAUCCAAUCGUAGCUGACGGGAAUUCGGAUCCGGAGACAGAGCAAAUGUUACGGCAGUAGCUGCUUGUCGAGAUUCAGCGCAGAUACUCCCGAUAAGGGCGGACGGCGAAUGGAAUGGAAGGGGGAUGGUGGUUUUCCCUGCUGCAAGAAUAUUUCAUCUUAAUAAGAU
Non-coding RNA from Drosophila melanogaster (fruit fly), 1364 nucleotides. The record is from Ensembl. Lineage: Eukaryota; Metazoa; Arthropoda; Insecta; Diptera; Drosophilidae.